AUUGAACGCUGGCGGCAUGCCUUACACAUGCAAGUCGAACGGCAGCGCGGGGCAACCUGGCGGCGAGUGGCGAACGGGUGAGUAAUAUAUCGGAACAUACCCUAGAGUGGGGGGAUAACGUAGCGAAAGUUACGCUAAUACCGCAUACGCACUAAGGUGGAAAGUGGGGGAUCUUCGGACCUCAUGCUCAUGGAGUGGCCGAUAUCUGAUUAGCUAGUUGGUGAGGUAAAGGCUCACCAAGGCGACGAUCAGUAGCUGGUUUGAGAGAACGACCAGCCACACUGGAACUGAGACACGGUCCAGACUCCUACGGAGGCAGCAGUGGGGAAUUUUGGACAAUGGGGGCAACCCUGAUCAGCAAUGCCGCGU
RNAcentral lists this ribosomal RNA (369 nucleotides) under uncultured bacterium. RNAcentral's name for it is "bacterial SSU rRNA". It matches the Rfam family "Bacterial small subunit ribosomal RNA", at positions 30 to 402 of the family's 1533-position model. The record is from RNAcentral.